GAUGAACGCUGGCGGCGUGCCUAAUACAUGCAAGUCGAGCGAACAGACGAGGAGCUUGUUCCUCUGACGUUAGCGGCGGACGGGCGUGUAACACGUGGAUAACCUACCUAUAAGUCUGGGAUAACUUCGGGAAACCGGAGCUAAUACCGGAUAAUAUAUUGAACCGCAUGGUUCAAUAGUGAAAGACGGUUUUGCUGUCACUUAUAGAUGGAUCCGUGCCGCAUUUGCUAGUUGGUCAGGUAACGGCGUACCAAGGCAACGAUGAGUAGCCGACCUGAGAGGGUGAUCGGCCACACUGGAACUGAGACACGGUCCAGACUCCUACGGGAGGCAGCAGUAGGGAAUCUUCCGCAAUGAGCGAAAACCUGACGGAGCAAAGCCGCGUCAGUGAUAAAAGUCUUCGGAUCUUAAAACUCUGUUAUUAGGGAAGAACGAAUGUGUAAGUAACAAUGCACGUCUUGACGGUACCUAAUCAGAAAGCCACGGCUAACUACGUG
RNAcentral lists this ribosomal RNA (497 nucleotides) under uncultured bacterium. Its description in RNAcentral is "partial 16S ribosomal RNA". It matches the Rfam family "Bacterial small subunit ribosomal RNA", at positions 28 to 507 of the family's 1533-position model. The record is from RNAcentral.